UGCGUAGGCGGUUCUGUAAGUAUGGUGUGAAAUCUCCCGGCUUAACUGGGAGGGUGCGCUAUAGACUGCGGGACUCGAGUGUGGGAGAGGAAAGUGGAAUUCCUGGUGUAGCGGUGAAAUGCGUAGAUAUCAGGAGGAACACCGGUGGUGUAAACGGCUUUCUGGACCAUAACUGACGCUGAGGCACGAAAGCGUGGGUAGCAAACAGGAUUAGAUACCCUGGUAGUCCACGCCCUAAACGAUGCAUAUUUGGUGUGGGUCAUUCAGUUGAUCCGUGCCGGAGCUAACGCGUUAAAUAUGCCGCCUGGGGAGUACAGUCGCAAGGCUGAA
Molecule: ribosomal RNA, 330 nt
Filed under: uncultured bacterium
Lineage: Bacteria
Description: bacterial SSU rRNA
Rfam family: Bacterial small subunit ribosomal RNA
Source: RNAcentral